Long non-coding RNA from Alligator sinensis (Chinese alligator), 593 nucleotides. RefSeq lists it as uncharacterized. The transcript is spliced from 3 exons. Lineage: Eukaryota; Metazoa; Chordata; Crocodylia; Alligatoridae. The record is from RefSeq and is a predicted model, not a curated record.
GAGCUGUGUGGAGUGAGCAAAGGCACCACUGCUGUGCUUGCUGGAAGCACCAGAAUAUCACAUACAGCAAGCUAAUUUCAUAAUAUUCGUGGCCAGACCUGAGAGAGGAAACACUGGAAAGAUCUGGAGGCCACAUCCUGGCAUCUGUGCCCCUUUGCACAGUGGGUCAGUUUUGCAGGCGCCGCUGCAGCAGCAGAAGAGGCGGCGGAUCGUACACCCCAUGCUUCUGUGCAAUCACAAAAAGAGGUCGGCGAAAGCUGGAGCAGAGGAGAGCGGCCUUGUCCCUGGCCUGUGCUGGGGUCAGGGCUCGGCCUCCCAUUGCUACCACCCCCGCGCAGCGAACCAAGGCCUCGCAGAAAACAUUUGCAGCGCUUGUACAACAGCGACGGGAUGGUGCGGGCAGAGCCCGAGCCCCGAGGUCGCCCAAUCCAUCCCGCUGCAAGAGGAGGUGGAGCUAGGGCCAAAUUCAAGCCUUGCCACAAAGGGGUUUAGCCCUGAGGGGUGACCCCGCUGCGCUCUCCUCCCUUCCCCGCUCUGCUUCAGCAAUCUCUGCCUUCCAGAUUUCCUCUCGGGGCCCACGUCUGCGAGGUGCG